Molecule: ribosomal RNA, 253 nt
Filed under: uncultured bacterium
Lineage: Bacteria
Description: partial 16S ribosomal RNA
Rfam family: Bacterial small subunit ribosomal RNA
Source: RNAcentral
UACGUAGGGGGCUAGCGUUGUCCGGAAUCAUUGGGCGUAAAGAGCGUGUAGGCGGUCCGGUAAGUCCGCUGUGAAAGUCGGGGGCUCAACCCUCGAAUGCCGGUGGAUACUGUCGGGCUAGAGUGCGGAAGAGGCGAGUGGAAUUCCUGGUGUAGCGGUGAAAUGCGCAGAUAUCGGGAAGAACACCAGUGGCGAAGGCGGCUCUCUGGGACGGUACUGACGCUGAGACGCGAAAGCGUGGGGAGCAAACAGG